This is a long non-coding RNA of Misgurnus anguillicaudatus (oriental weatherfish), 1160 nucleotides long. RefSeq lists it as uncharacterized. The record is from RefSeq and is a predicted model, not a curated record. Lineage: Eukaryota; Metazoa; Chordata; Actinopteri; Cypriniformes; Cobitidae.
UAAGCCUUUUAUUCAGACAAUAAUGAGUAAUGAGAUCCACACCCAGACACAUGGCAGGUUUAUGUGUUUCUUAUAUUUUUUCCGUACAUAUAUUCAGUGUAAAAUGAUAGUUUUGAGGGGCACUGUAUUACAAAAAAGUUUGUUUUCCUGAUAUUCAUUCAGCCGGAUCCCACAGGAAGCAUCAGUGUCUCAGUCUGUAUCAGAUUACCUGCUCAGGUAACAUGACUAGUCCAAAACCUGUGUGAGUUUCAGCCACUCAUAUUGCACAUAAACCUACAUGCAGAACAGGGGUCCAGUGAAGAAUGGCCGGGUCAGGUGUUGCCUUGAGGUUGCAUGAGUUUAAAGAAACACAAGACACCAAAACACAUCAACAAACACACAUGCAAGUGCAACAGCUCAGUCCUCAUCUUUAAACUUCAAAUCCAAUCAUGCAUGUUUGGAUCGUGUUUCUGUCUGAUCAUAGUUUACUGUGUGCAGUAUUAGAUUGUUUGUGUAUUUGUAUAAUGUAUUUCGGUUAUUCUGUGUAUGUCCAGUGCUCGGCGUCAGGGUCGAGACGUACAAGGACUGUAUCCAGGUCAGCUUGCGAGAGUUCACACCUUUAGCUCACACAUGUACAGGUCGACACAGGGGUUUUUGGAGCAUCACACGUGGCUGAAGGAAUCGAGUGCAGGAGAAAGUUACCAGAGAAGUUUUGAUCUUCUUGCCCUGCAGUCUUUGCUUGGCUGAUGACCCCAGAUUAGCACAUACAUCAAAGCAACACAACAAGCACCAGACGCCACACUCUUAAAAAUAAAGAUGCUUAGAAGAACAAUUUUAUUUUCUGGGUUCAACAGACUAUAAAAAGAUAAGAAAUGGUUCUUCUGUGGCAUCUUUGUGCAAUACCCAUCUUUAUUUUUUAUGAGUUAAGCAUUAUGAUGAACGUUUGUCAAAAUCAUUAUAGCAUCAAGUGUAUCAACCAAACACUUAUGGAUUUGGAAGAAGUUUGAUUUACAUCUGAUAAUAUUUUAAAAAUAAAAUGUCUAACGGUUUAUGACCUAAUGGCUUAUUCAUAAUAAAUCUGGUUGUGUUAUCCUUGUAGAUUCAUGUGCUCAUAUGUGACUGAUAAUGUCAUACAUGCCACAAAAUCACUUUACAUGCUUGUGUGUUUAAACAAACAUAAC